RNAcentral lists this ribosomal RNA (1372 nucleotides) under uncultured bacterium. RNAcentral describes it as "bacterial SSU rRNA". It matches the Rfam family "Bacterial small subunit ribosomal RNA", at positions 28 to 1381 of the family's 1533-position model. The record is from RNAcentral.
GAUGAACGCUGGCGGCGUGCCUAAUAUAUGCAAGUCGAGCGAACGGACGAGAAGCUUGCUUCUCUGAUGUUAGCGGCGGACGGGUGAGUAACACGUGGAUAACCUACCUAUAAGACUGGGAUAACUUCGGGAAACCGGAGCUAAUACCGGAUAAUAUUUUGAACCGCAUGGUUCAAAAGUGAAAGACGGUCUUGCUGUCACUUAUAGAUGGAUCCGCGCUGCAUUAGCUAGUUGGUAAGGUAACGGCUUACCAAGGCAACGAUGCAUAGCCGACCUGAGAGGGUGAUCGGCCACACUGGAACUGAGACACGGUCCAGACUCCUACGGGAGGCAGCGGUAGGGAAUCUUCCGCAAUGGGCGAAAGCCUGACGGAGCAACGCCGCGUGAGUGAUGAAGGUCUUCGGAUCGUAAAACUCUGUUAUUAGGGAAGAACAUAUGUGUAAGUAACUGUGCACAUCUUGACGGUACCUAAUCAGAAAGCCACGGCUAACUACGUGCCAGCAGCCGCGGUAAUACGUAGGUGGCAAGCGUUAUCCGGAAUUAUUGGGCGUAAAGCGCGCGUAGGCGGUUUUUUAAGUCUGAUGUGAAAGCCCACGGCUCAACCGUGGAGGGUCAUUGGAAACUGGAAAACUUGAGUGCAGAAGAGGAAAGUGGAAUUCCAUGUGUAGCGGUGAAAUGCGCAGAGAUAUGGAGGAACACCAGUGGCGAAGGCGACUUUCUGGUCUGUAACUGACGCUGAUGUGCGAAAGCGUGGGGAUCAAACAGGAUUAGAUACCCUGGUAGUCCACGCCGUAAACGAUGAGUGCUAAGUGUUAGGGGGUUUCCGCCCCUUAGUGCUGCAGCUAACGCAUUAAGCACUCCGCCUGGGGAGUACGACCGCAAGGUUGAAACUCAAAGGAAUUGACGGGGACCCGCACAAGCGGUGGAGCAUGUGGUUUAAUUCGAAGCAACGCGAAGAACCUUACCAAAUCUUGACAUCCUUUGACAACUCUAGAGAUAGAGCCUUCCCCUUCGGGGGACAAAGUGACAGGUGGUGCAUGGUUGUCGUCAGCUCGUGUCGUGGGAUGUUGGGUUAAGUCCCGCAACGAGCGCAACCCUUAAGCUUAGUUGCCAUCAUUAAGUUGGGCACUCUAAGUUGACUGCCGGUGACAAACCGGAGGAAGGUGGGGAUGACGUCAAAUCAUCAUGCCCCUUAUGAUUUGGGCUACACACGUGCUACAAUGGACAAUACAAAGGGCAGCGAAACCGCGAGGUCAAGCAAAUCCCAUAAAGUUGUUCUCAGUUCGGAUUGUAGUCUGCAACUCGACUACAUGAAGCUGGAAUCGCUAGUAAUCGUAGAUCAGCAUGCUACGGUGAAUACGUUCCCGGGUCU